AGCGAACGCUGGCGGCAGGCUUAACACAUGCAAGUCGAGCGGGCACUUUCGGGUGUCAGCGGCGGACGGGUGAGUAACGCGUGGGAACGUGCCCUCUGGUUCGGAAUAACUCAAGGAAGCUUGAGCUAAUACCGGAUACGCCCUUUUGGGGAAAGGCUUGCUGCCGGAGGAUCGGCCCGCGUCUGAUUAGCUAGUUGGUGAGGUAACGGCUCACCAAGGCGACGAUCAGUAGCUGGUCUGAGAGGAUGAUCAGCCACACUGGGACUGAGACACGGCCCAGACUCCUACGGGAGGCAGCAGUGGGGAAUAUUGGACAAUGGGCGCAAGCCUGAUCCAGCCAUGCCGCGUGAGUGAUGAAGGCCUUAGGGUUGUAAAGCUCUUUUAUCCGGGACGAUAAUGACGGUACCGGAGGAAUAAGCCCCGGCUAACUUCGUG
RNAcentral lists this ribosomal RNA (435 nucleotides) under uncultured bacterium. RNAcentral's name for it is "partial 16S ribosomal RNA". It matches the Rfam family "Bacterial small subunit ribosomal RNA", at positions 29 to 507 of the family's 1533-position model. The record is from RNAcentral.